Molecule: ribosomal RNA, 161 nt
Filed under: uncultured bacterium
Lineage: Bacteria
Description: partial 16S ribosomal RNA
Rfam family: Bacterial small subunit ribosomal RNA
Source: RNAcentral
UCGGGAAUUUUGGGCAAUGGCCGAUAGGGUAGACCCAGCAACGCCGCGUGAGUGAAGAAGGCCUUCGGGUUGUAAAGCUCUGUUGCUCGUGAAGAACGGUACUCUCAGGAAAUGGGGAGUACUUGACGGUAGCGAGUGAGGAAGCCCCGGCUAACUACGUG